This 6334-nucleotide long non-coding RNA is filed under the name Sus scrofa (pig). Its description in RNAcentral is "lncRNA (ENSSSCG00060037937.1)". The record is from RNAcentral. Lineage: Eukaryota; Metazoa; Chordata; Mammalia; Artiodactyla; Suidae.
GUGGUACCCGGAAAGACAGGUACUCUUCUGAGCAAAGUGAGGGAACUCAUCGUCUGUUCUUUCUUUUUUCACGUUUUAUUUUUAUUUUAUUUAUUUAUUUAUUUUCUUUUUAUGGCCCUGCUUGUGGCAUAUGGAAGAUCCCAGGCCAGGGGUCAAAUCAGAGCUGUAGCUGUCAAGCUAUGUCACAGCCACAGCAGCACCAGAACCGAAAUGCAUCUGCAACCUACACCGCAGCUCAUAAUGGGAACUUCCUUAUGCCGUGGGUGCGGCCCUAAAAAGGACAAAAAAAAAAAGAAAAGGAAAGAAUUGCCAGACCCUUAUCAGCCCACCUGUCUCACUGUAACUGUUACAAUCUUCCUAAGGCCCGCCCCACCCCAACAGGCCUACUCCUCCCUGCCCCCUAUUAGGAAAGGUAUGUGGCCCACUCCCCUCCUCCCCUCAGUCAGCCUGGCCUGCUCCUUCCUGCCCCACUACUAGAAAAGGUUUGUAGCCCACUCCUUACCCCGCCCCUAUGGGGCAACAUAUGCCCCCAACCAACCAGCAAGUGUAUCGGAAGACUCCAUCCCUCCCCAGCCAAUCAGCAGGUGUAUGGCAAGACCACGCCUCCACUCCUUUGUCUCUGGGCUAUAGAAACAGACACGCCCUUGUGCCCUGGUUAUCUGGAUGCUGGUCCACUGUGUGAACAGUGUCUCUGUCCUCAAUAAACGUGUCUUUUCUACAUCUUGGUUUAAAUCCGGAAAAUACUUUUUCCACCCAUAUGCAGAGCCCACAACAGCCAGGACCAGACCGCACGCCCCUAACUCCCAGCCCAGGGCUUGGUACUCUGCGCCUCUGCCCCCCAGAGGGUUGGGAGCUCCAGGCAGCCCGAGGAAAGGCUUCCAGAGGCAGGGAUUGCCUGGCACUCAGACCCCGGGCAGUCCUUUGGCAGGUGACACAGAUGGGUGGUGCUAAGUGCUGUCCCAGGAAAGGACCUGCCUACUUUAUAAUCUGGGGUGACUGCUCUGAUUGGGCUCCACUUCUAGCCGCAGACCUGGGGAGGAGAGGGCGACCUGAUAAAGGCUAUCUCAUGGAACUGCCCUGUGGAACCGGAUGUAGGAAUCAGGCCCAGUUACAGGUAAGCAAAUGAAGAUUUAGGGAAAUGAAGGGACUUGCCCAAGGCCCGGCGGCAGGGACGACCCAGCUUGGCAAUGCCCAUGGGCGGGGCAGUGCCUGUGCCGUUUCUAAGAGAUCCUUCUCCUUCUUCUUCUUCUUCUUCUUUUUUUUUUUUUGUCUUUUUAGGGCUGCACCCAUGGCAUAUGGGAGUUCUCAGGCUAGGGGUCCAAUUGGAACUGUAGUUACCAGCCUGCACCACAACCACAGCAACGCCAGAUGUGAGCAGCAUCUGUGACAUACACCACAGCUCAUGGCAACGCCGGACCCUUUAACCCACUAAGCGAAGCCAGGGGUCGAACCCACAUCCUUAUGGCUACGAGCUGGGUUUGCUACUGCUGAGCCACCACAGGAACUCCUCCAUGAAUAAGGUCCUUCUGCCUGCCCUUGCGGGGGGGGGGGGGGUCCAUGGCCCUUCCGCCAAAAUAUUUGCGUUUCUGACAAGGGGCCUGAAACCCCUCCCCGAGCUCUCUUUCUUCCUGGUUACUGCAAACAGCGCCUCACAAGCAGCAGGUAACCCCUGAAGGCAUUACCGGCCCUUUUGCUUUGAGUGUGAAUUAGUUAUCAGACCCUGAGACUGGAGCAGAAUGCAGGGCCCUGCCCUAUAUGACACAUGACAGGUGAGGAGGGAGAGGUCCCUGGGCAGGGCUAUGCCCUGGGAGUGGCUGGGUGGAGCUUCCCCCGAAGCACCUGGGCCCCAUGUCCAUCCAGGUGGCACUGAGUGAGCAGGGAGGUGCCUGGGGUGGAGGUGCGGGACGACGUGGACGAAGCACCGACUUUUUUUGGGUUCCAGCCUGAGCUCUGCCAUCUCCUACCUGUGUAGCCUUAGGUGAGCCAGCCACUUCCCUGAGCCUCACAACCUCACCUGCGCAGUGGGGAUACACUGCCGUGUCUACCUUGCAGAUGGGAGCUAUUGAGAAGGUGUUCCGUUUCCGUCCCCAUUCUCACACGUGAGCAUGAGAAGCCCCUGGAGGGCUCCUUAGAACUUAAAGGCCUCACCCCAGAGUUUCUGCUUUAGUUAGUCCCGGGAGGGGCCUAGGUUCCUAACUAACUAACUAACUAACUAAGUGUCCUGACAAGUUCUGAUGCUGCUUGUGCUGGGACCACUCCUCUAUGAAAGAUCUCUGAAUCUAGGAGAUUGAGGAGUUCCCGUUGUGGCUCAGUGGGUUAAGAAGGCUACUGGUAUCCAUGAGGAUUCGUGUUUGAUCCCUGGCCUCUAUCAGUGGGUUAAGGGUCUGGCAUUGCUGCAGCGUAGUUUGCUGAUGUGGCUCGGAUCUGGCGUUGCUGUGGCUGUGGUGUAGGCUGGUGGCUGUGGCUCUGAUUAGACUCCUACCUAGACUAGGAACUUCCAUAUGCCUCUGGUGUGGCCCUAAAAAGCCAAAACAAAAAACCAAAAAACAAAAAACCCACUGGGAGGUUGGAGAGGGCGGGGUGCAGAGCAGAGCCUAGAAAAGCUGCCAAAUACAAACUUGAAAUUUUGUAGGGAUUUUGCCCCCCUGUCACCUUGGCUGAACAGAGGGUGCCCAGGAGGAGAAGAGGAAAUGGCUGCAGGGCCAAGGGUCGAGGGCCAGGGCUCUGAGCUGUCUCCAGGAACCUCUCCUUUAAUCCUCCAUCCGCUCUCUAACACUGCAGAGAGCUGGUCUCUCGCACCUACUUCAACAUGAAGAAACAGGCUGGAAGAGGUUCGGGGACACGUCCAAGGCCAUGCACACAGCAAAGUGGAAACGGGAACCCAGACCUCUCACCCUGGGCCCUGGAUGUUUCCUAACGCACUCCACCGCCCCUCCUGUUAUCUGGUAGAGGGAAAAAUAUAUUAAGAGCUGUGCAAAUUUGUAGGGAUGGCUCAUCUAAGCUCCCCCUCCCUGCACCCAAAGCCCCGCCUCUGCAAAGGUUGCCCUUCCCCCCACUCGGCUUCUCUUCUUGCCACGCCCACUCCCAGCUCCCUGCCCUCAAGUGUCCUUCUAUCUUCCAGGAAAGGGACUGCAGCUUUUGACGCCAACCACCCCCCCUCCCCACCCUGCCCCCCACCCCCAGGACUUGGUGCCAACACCCAAGAGGUGCUCAGUGAACUUGGGGUUUGCCUCCCUUGCUUUCCUGGUCCCCGCCCUCCCCCCACCUCGAAAAGUUUGUCCUCAGAGCCCUUCCAAAGUGACAUCCUCCAUCCUGAGUCCCCAGGAGUGGGAGGGAUGCUGCGUACCCAAGGCUGCCGACAGGGUCAGAGGGGAAACUGCAUUUCCUGCCGGGGCCCCUGGGGAGCCCUGUCUCUCAGAGGUCAGCUGGGUCUCCAAGCACAGCUCUGGGGGGAGAGGGGGCGGGGAGGGGAGAGGAAGGAGGGGGGGGAAGGACAAGGGCACAGAGAGGAAGGGGGCAGCGAGAAGAGGAAGGACAGGGGGAAGGGGAAGGGAGGCAAAGAAAGAGAGGCAGGGGUAACAGAAGAUUCGAGAGCAUGAGACGCAGAGAGGGAGAGUCAAGAGAAAAGGAUCAGAGAAACAGAAAAGCGAGAGCAAGUUAGAGACGAAAUGGGAAGGGGUGUGAGAAAAAGAUCGACGUUGACAUAGAGAAACUGGCAGGCAGAUAUGCCAGAGAAACGGAGAGCAGGCAGGCACCGCCCGAAGGAAACACCUGCACUUCCCGCACCUCACUGAGUUUCUUCUGGGUGUUCUGCUCUGUGUGUCUGUGCUGUGACACCUCAGGCCUUGGAUCAGCACAUCCAAUUGACCAGUAAACAUCGCUCUCACAGCCCCUGAUGGAGGAAGCAGGCCAGCCUGGAGGGAGUGGUCAGCUCCCCACGAGCCGUGGGAAGAGCCCCCUGGGAUCUUGAGUCAGAUUCUUGGGAAAGCCCCUGCCCCUCUCCCCCAAGCACAUCCAGGAAUUCUUUUGCUUUUCUGUUGCAUUAUCAUUCAUUACAAGGUAUGAAAUACUGUUCCCCGGACUGUACAUCAGGGCCUUGUUGUUUAUACAGAGUCGUGUGUCUCUGCGGAUCCCAAACUCCCGAUUUAUCCCUCCCCACCCUUCCACUUUGGUAACCAUAUGUUUAUUUUCUGUGUCUGUGAGUCAGUUACUGUUUUGUAAAUACGUUCAUUUGUAUCAUUUUUCAGAUUCUUUCGUGUCUCAAUUUAUGCCUCUGGGACAGGGACAUUUCUCAAGGGGGUGUGGAAAACUUGAAACCGACCACUCAGGCCUUACAGUGGAAAGAAUCUGGGCUUUGAAAGUCGGCCAACCCGAGUUCAAAUCCAGACUCUACUAUCUCUUUGCUGGGUGACCUCAGGCACAUGACCUCCCCUCUCUGGGCUUUGCAUCUCCUAAAUGUGACUGGGCUCCCUAAGGAGUUUUUUUUCUUUCUUUCUUUUUUUUUUUUUUUAGGGCUGGAUCCAUGGCAUAUGGAAGUUCUAAGACUAGUGGUUGAAUUGGAGCUGUAGCUGCUAGCCUACACCACAGCCACAGCAACACCAGCUCCUUUGACCCACUGAGCGAGGCCUGCAUCCUCCUGGACACUAGUUAGGUUCAUUACUGCUGAGUUGCAGCAGGAACUCCUCCCAGGGGAACUUUUGCUCUCAUCCUUGCACUCAGCUGGCAGGGGCUUCUAGCGGUUUCAUGCCUUCCACAGGCAAAACCAGCCGCAGGUGACUUUAGGGAUCCUCUUUUUUUUUUUUUUCUUUUUGGCCACACCUGCAGCAUAUGGAAAUUAACGGGCCAGGGAUUGACUCCAAGCCACGGCUGCUGCUACCCACGCCACAGCCAUAGCAAUGCUGGAUCCUUAACCCACUGUACCUGGCCAGAGAUCGAACCUGGGGCACCAAAGAGACAACAGGUCCUUAACCCACUGUGCCACAGUGGGAACUCCCCCAUUAGUCCACUUGAUUCUCCGUAUGGUCCUGUCUGCGCAGUGACAGCUCUGACUCUCUCUAUCCUCCGGUCCUCAGGCAGAUUCUCUAGUCUCCCCGGCUCCGACAUUUGGUCUCCUCACUACUUCUCUUGCUCCUGUUUUUUCUUUUUACAGCCAUGCCUGCAGCAUAUGGAAGUUCCCAGUCUAGGGGUUGAAUUGGAGUUGCAGCGGCAGGCCUACACCGCAGCCACAGCAACAUCAGAUCCGAGCUGCAUCUGCAACUUAUACUGCAGCUUACAGCAAUUCCAGAUCCUUAACCCACUGUGCAAGGCCAGGGAUGGAACCUGCAUCCUCAUGGGCACUGCGUUGGGUUCUACAAUGGGAACUCCUGCAGCACUGUGUAGGUCUCCCGUUUCUUGGAAUCUUUUGCCCUUUUCUUACCCCAGGAAGGAGUUGAGCAUCGUUACUAAGAACAAAUCUCCAGAGUCAGAUGAGCUGGGUUCGAAUUUCAGCUCUGCUUCCUAUUAAUAGUGGCUUCACCUCUACAUACCUCAAUUUCUUCAUCUGUAUAAUGGGUUAAGGGCAGUGCCUGCUGGAAUGAGCAGUUGGGAGGAUUAAAUGCAUUCAUAUAUAUAAGACAUUUAAUGGCAAUGUCUGGCACAGAAUAAACACCAAAUGAAUGUUAGCGAUUAUUCUUAUCACUCCUAAGUCGACAAAGACUCACCUUAAGAAUUCCCAUCAUGGCUCAGAAGUUAACGAACCCAACUAGCAUCCAUGAGGGUGCAGGUUUGAUCCCUGGCCUCACUCAGUGGGUUAAAGAUCUGGCGUUGCUGUGAACUGUGAUGUAGGUUGCAGACGUGGCUCAGAUCCCGGGUUGCUGUGGCUCUGGUGUAGGCUGGUGGCUACAGCUCUGUAUGGACCUCCACCCUGGGAACCUCCAUAUGCUGCAGGUGUGGCCCUAAAAGACAAAAAAAAAAAAAAAAAAAAAAAAAAAAGAGAUCUACCCUCUUUCAGAGUUCCUGUAGCGGCUCAGCAGUGAUAAAUCUGACUAUUGUCCAUGAGGGUGCAGGUUCGAUCCCUGGCCUUGCUCAGUGGGUUGAGGAUCUGGUGUUACUGUGCUGUAGGUCAUAGAUGCGGCUUGGAUCCUGAGUUGCUGUGGCUGUGGUGUAGGCCAGCAACUAUAGCUCUGACUCGGCCUCUAGGCUGGGAACUUCCAUAUGCUGUGGGUUCGGCCCUAAAAAGACAAAAGAAUAAAAAUAAAACAAAUAAACAAUUACCCUCUUUCCAUGGCAAGAAGGUGCUGUGAAUGAGAACUUUCCCUGAGGUUCUGCUGUGGCUCAGUGGGCUAAGAAUCCAACU